AGCCAAACUCUAGCCCAACCACAUUUAACCAAUAACCAAAACCCACUCUUAUCCAUAGACUAAAACAUUCUCUCAACCUAGUAUAGGCGAUAGAAAAGUUUUCCCUGGCGCAAUAGAGGCCUUGUACCGUAAGGGAAAGAUGAAAUAUCAAUGAAAACCCAAGCAUCCCACAGCAAAGAUUAACCCUUGUACCUCUUGCAUCAUGAUUUAGCAAGAACAACCAAGCAAAAUGAACUUAAGCUUGCCACCCCGAAACCCAAGCGAGCUACUUGUAGGCAGCUACCCCCUGAGCGAACCCGUCUCUGUUGCAAAAGAGUGGGAUGACCUACUAGUAGAGGUGAAAAGCCAACCGAGCUGGGUGAUAGCUGGUUGCCUGUGAAAUGAAUCUAAGUUCUACCUUAAUUCCUCUCCACGGACCUACACCAUAACCCUCACGUAGUGAAUCAAGAGUAAGUUAAAGGAGGUACAGCUCCUUUAAAAAAGAACACAACCUCACACAGCGGAUAACCCACAACUUUCCCCAACCUGUAGGCCUUCAAGCAGCCAUCAUCAAAGAAUGCGUCAAAGCUCCUUACCCUAAAAAAUCCAACAACAACCCGACUCCCUUCCCACCAACAGGCUAGCCUAUCAUAAUAGGAGAAUUAAUGCUAGAAUGAGUAACUAGGGACUACCCCCUCUUUCAAGCGCAAACUUACAUCCUUACAUUAUUAACAGCCCAAUUAAUGCUACAACCACAACAAGUUAACACAUUACAAACACCCUGUUACCCCAACCCAGGAGCGCCCACCAGAAAGACUAAAAUCUGCAAAAGGAACUAGGCAAACCUAAGAUCCGACUGUUUACCAAAAACAUAGCCUUCAGCAAACCAAGUAUUGAAGGUGAUGCCUGCCCGGUGACCCCAGUUUAACGGCCGCGGUAUCCUAACCGUGCGAAGGUAGCGCAAUCAAUUGUCCCAUAAAUCGAGACUUGUAUGAAUGGCUAAACGAGAUCUUAACUGUCUCUUGCAGAUGGUCAGUGAAAUUGAUCUUCCUGUGCAAAAGCAGGAAUAAAUGCACAAGACGAGAAGACCCUGUGGAACUUAAAAAUCAGCGGCCACCCUAUACAAGCACAUCAACCCCUACCAGGCACACAACCAAACAGCUGCUGGCCCACAUUUUUCGGUUGGGGCGACCUUGGAGAAAAACAGACCCUCCAAAAAUAAGACCACACCUCUUAACCAAGAAUAACAUCUCAAUGUACUAAUAGUAACCAGACCCAAUAACAUUGAUCAAUGGACCAAGCUACCCCAGGGAUAACAGCGCAAUCUCCCCUAAGAGCCCCUAUCGACGGGGAGGUUUACGACCUCGAUGUUGGAUCAGGACAUCCUAAUGGUGCAGCCGCUAUUAAGGGUUCGUUUGUUCAACGAUUAACAGUCCUACGUGAUCUGAGUUCAGACCGGAGCAAUCCAGGUCGGUUUCUAUCUAUGCUAUGCUCUUCCCAGUACGAAAGGACCGGAAAAGUGAGGCCAAUACUACAAGCACGCCUUCUCCCUAAGUAAUGAACCCAUCUAAAUUACAAAGAGAACUUACACACCAAACCCAAGCCCUAGAAAAGGCC
This 1596-nucleotide ribosomal RNA is filed under the name Pernis ptilorhynchus (Oriental honey-buzzard). Its description in RNAcentral is "16S ribosomal RNA". It matches the Rfam family "Bacterial large subunit ribosomal RNA". Lineage: Eukaryota; Metazoa; Chordata; Aves; Accipitriformes; Accipitridae. RNAcentral also lists the same sequence under 1 other name. The record is from RNAcentral.